RNAcentral lists this ribosomal RNA (609 nucleotides) under Cortinarius cf. salor F16020. RNAcentral's name for it is "eukaryotic LSU rRNA". It matches the Rfam family "Eukaryotic large subunit ribosomal RNA", at positions 1 to 610 of the family's 3401-position model. The record is from RNAcentral. Lineage: Eukaryota; Fungi; Basidiomycota; Agaricomycetes; Agaricales; Cortinariaceae.
GUGACCUCAAAUCAGGUAGGACUACCCGCUGAACUUAAGCAUAUCAAUAAGCGGAGGAAAAGAAACUAACAAGGAUUCCCCUAGUAACUGCGAGUGAAGCGGGAAAAGCUCAAAUUUAAAAUCUGUCAGUCUUUGGCUGUCCGAGUUGUAAUCUAGAGAAGUGUUAUCCGCGCUGGACCGUGUACAAGUCUCCUGGAAUGGAGCGUCAUAGAGGGUGAGAAUCCCGUCUUUGACACGGACUGCCAGGGCUUUGUGAUGCGCUCUCAAAGAGUCGAGUUGUUUGGGAAUGCAGCUCAAAAUGGGUGGUAAAUUCCAUCUAAAGCUAAAUAUUGGCGAGAGACCGAUAGCGAACAAGUACCGUGAGGGAAAGAUGAAAAGAACUUUGGAAAGAGAGUUAAACAGUACGUGAAAUUGCUGAAAGGGAAACGCUUGAAGUCAGUCGCGUUGGCCAGGGAUCAACCUUGCUUUUGCUUGGUGUACUUUCUGGUUGACGGGUCAGCAUCAAUUUUGACUGUUGGAAAAAAAUUAAGGGAAUGUGGCAUCUUUGGAUGUGUUAUAGCCCUUGGUUGCAUACAAUGGUUGGGAUUGAGGAACUCAGCAUCGCCGCAA